This 341-nucleotide unclassified non-coding RNA is filed under the name soil metagenome. Its description in RNAcentral is "partial contains 5.8S ribosomal RNA, internal transcribed spacer 2, and large subunit ribosomal RNA". The stretch from base 1 to 120 matches the Rfam family "5.8S ribosomal RNA", at positions 35 to 154 of the family's 154-position model. The record is from RNAcentral.
GAUGAAGAACGCAGCGAAAUGCGAUAAGUAGUGUGAAUUGCAGAAUUCAGUGAAUCAUCGAAUCUUUGAACGCACAUUGCGCCCUUUGGUAUUCCAAAGGGCAUGCCUGUUCGAGCGUCAUUUGUACCCUCAAGCUUUGCUUGGUGUUGGGCGUCUUGUCUCUAGCUUUGCUGGAGACUCGCCUUAAAGUAAUUGGCAGCCGGCCUACUGGUUUCGGAGCGCAGCACAAGUCGCACUCUCUAUCAGCAAAGGUCUAGCAUCCAUUAAGCCUUUUUUUCAACUUUUGACCUCGGAUCAGGUAGGGAUACCCGCUGAACUUAAGCAUAUCAAUAAGCGGAGGG